RNAcentral lists this ribosomal RNA (465 nucleotides) under uncultured bacterium. RNAcentral describes it as "partial 16S ribosomal RNA". It matches the Rfam family "Bacterial small subunit ribosomal RNA", at positions 338 to 795 of the family's 1533-position model. The record is from RNAcentral.
CCUACGGGUGGCAGCAGUGGGGAAUAUUGCGCAAUGGGCGAAAGCCUGACGCAGCGACGCCGCGUGAGGGAUGAAGGUCUUCUGAUCGUAAACCUCUGUCAGCAGGGAAGAACGGUCACUGUGCUAAUCAGCAGUGAAUUGACGGUACCUGCAAAGGAAGCACCGGCUAACUCCGUGCCAGCAGCCGCGGUAAUACGGAGGGUGCGAGCGUUAAUCGGAUUUACUGGGCGUAAAGCGCUCGUAGGUGGUAUGUCAAGUCAAGGGUGAAAGCCCGGCGCUCAACGUGGGAACUGCCUUUGAAACUGGCAAACUGGAGUGUGUGAGAGGAUAGUGGAAUUCCAGGUGUAGGAGUGAAAUCCGUAGAUAUCUGGAAGAACAUCAGUGGCGAAGGCGACUAUCUGGAACGUAACUGACGCUGAGGAGCGAAAGCGUGGGUAGCAAACAGGAUUAGAUACCCGAGUAGUC